Molecule: ribosomal RNA, 372 nt
Filed under: uncultured organism
Description: bacterial SSU rRNA
Rfam family: Bacterial small subunit ribosomal RNA
Source: RNAcentral
CGUAGGGAGCGAGCGUUGUCCGAAGUUACUGGGCGUAAAGCGCGCGUAGGCGGGCCAUUAAGUGAGAGGUGAAAUUCCAGGGCUCAACCCCGGAACUGCCUCUCAUACUGUUGGUCUUGAGUGAGGUAGAGAGAAGUGGAAUGGCUGGUGUAGCGGUGAAAUGCGUAGAUAUCAGUCGGAACACCGGUGGCGAAGGCGGCUUCUUGGGCCUUUACUGACGCUGAGGCGCGAAAGCCAGGGGAGCGAACGGGAUUAGAUACCCCGGUAGUCCUGGCCGUAAACGAUGGAUACUAGGUGUAGGGGGUAUCGACCCCUCCUGUGCCGCAGCUAACGCAUUAAGUAUCCCGCCUGGGGAGUACGGCCGCAAGGUUG